GGGUGUUUGGUCUAGUGGUAUGAUUCUUGCUUUGGGUGCAAGAGCUCGUUAGUUCGAUUUUCGCAACACCCU
Transfer RNA from Ipomoea nil (Japanese morning glory), 72 nucleotides. It matches the Rfam family "tRNA". Rfam says of the family: Transfer RNA (tRNA) molecules are approximately 80 nucleotides in length. NCBI's taxonomy places the organism in Eukaryota, Viridiplantae, Streptophyta, Magnoliopsida, Solanales, Convolvulaceae. The record is from Rfam.